Molecule: long non-coding RNA, 1339 nt
Filed under: Homo sapiens (human)
Lineage: Eukaryota; Metazoa; Chordata; Mammalia; Primates; Hominidae
Description: HSALNT0023714
Source: RNAcentral
CGUUUGCAAACAAACCAAAGAGGAGCAGAAAGUUUUCAGACUCAGAGGCGACAUCCCAACAGCUUGGCUUGAAGGAGUACUUUAGGACUCAGAACAACAGGAUGAAGACAGCAGCUAAAAUAGAACACACCAGCAGAGACGUUCAGCUCCUUGAGCUGUGCUUCCGAAGCUCAAGCAUGGCAGAGUGGCCUUGUUAAAUCAGAGUUCAGGGUGCCACCCUGACAGUUUCUGAUUCCGUAGGUGCCCAGUAGGGACCAAGAAUCCUUUUUUUUUUUCCUUUUUCUUUUUAAUAGAGUCAGGGUCUUGCUAUGUUGCCCACAUGGGUCUCAAAUUCAAGCGAUCCUCCCACCUCGACCUCCCAAAGCACUGGAAUUCCAGGCAUAAGCCACCGUGCCUGGCCAAGAACGUUUUUUUUUUUAACAAGUUUCUAAAUGAUGCUGGUCUAUUGGUCCUGGGACCACACUUUGAAAUUGGUGGGAUAGGAGGCUGGGAUCUUUAUCCAUUCACUCAACUCCCAUUCCCCAUGGUUGAAAGUUUCCCUGGGGCAUCCCUGGGAGGCCUGGGGGCUGACAAGAUUCAAACGUUUUGGUGAAAAGCCCCAAGACAGUGAAGUGGGGUGUGCUUGAAGUGGGGCACCGUCAUCACCCACCUACCCACCACAGAGGUGAGCUAAAAGGUAACAUGUACCACCCUUGAAUACAGUGUUGCUCCCUGUCAUGACUCACGGACAGGUUACCAGACCGGAGCCUCCAGCAAUCCAGGAGCACAAACAAGGAUGCCUUAAAACAAAACUUGUGUCAGGGUACCCUUCGCUGCCUCAGAGGAAAUCAGAAUGACCUGGUGGACAACUGUUCAUAAGGACAAGAGCCAGUAUCACUGCCUUUGAGUCCCAGCCUCCUCAAAUCCAUUUUCUGCCCUGCACCACCUCAUCAUAUCCCGGAUAUUGUUAGUGUCGUGUCAUUUCAUGACUCAGGAGCUGCGGGUGACUUUGGCUGCCCUGACAUUUGUUAAAUUGGCUCCUGGGUCCUGGUUUGCAAAUGUUGCCACUUUGAGAUCCGUAGAUGGUCAUCCCUGGCUCCCUUGGGGAGUGUCCUGGAAUCCACCAGCUCCAUCUGCUCGACAAGAGACUUGAGUUUGUUCUGUUACCUCUUUCAUCAUUAGCCAAAGCUCCGGGACUUGGUUAAAACUUUAGGCAAUUAAAAAGACUGACUUAUGGAGAUAGUAGUGUUUUCACUAUAUCGUCCCUGCUUGAAUUUAUGUUCUUGAAUUCCAUUAACCUGAAAUAUAUCAAAAUACCAAGAUGUUAUGAAGAAUGGGAACAAAUAUAGAAAAGUGAAAA